UCCCGAUUAGCUCAGUCGGUAGAGCGUCAGACUUUUAAUACAGUUCGAUACUGCGCACACGUGCAGUCGAGCAAAGUCUUCGAGAUUGUCUCGAAUGCAAAUCUGAAUGUCAGGGGUUCGAGCCCCCUAUUGGGAG
Molecule: non-coding RNA, 136 nt
Organism: Testicularia cyperi
Lineage: Eukaryota; Fungi; Basidiomycota; Ustilaginomycetes; Ustilaginales; Anthracoideaceae
Source: the annotation of a GenBank genome assembly